Pelobates cultripes (western spadefoot toad) is the source of this 204-nucleotide non-coding RNA. Lineage: Eukaryota; Metazoa; Chordata; Amphibia; Anura; Pelobatidae. The record is from the annotation of a GenBank genome assembly.
CCUGUCAGGAUUCUGUUGGUCCCCCCCCUUUCUGUCUCUGUCGUCCGGCGGUCUCUUUGGGGUAUCAGGAUUAACAUUUCACUCGUGCAUAGUGAACCGAAAACCAUAAACAUAAACAAAAAUAUAACAUAAUUAUGAACCAUAUAACAAGGUUGAUAAAAACAUAUGUAGUGAUGUACUUUCAGUCUGGUCUUACAAUUUGCC